RNAcentral lists this long non-coding RNA (591 nucleotides) under Vombatus ursinus (common wombat). RNAcentral's name for it is "lncRNA (ENSVURG00010012083.1)". Lineage: Eukaryota; Metazoa; Chordata; Mammalia; Diprotodontia; Vombatidae. The record is from RNAcentral.
CCAGCAUUGUCAUUUUUCUCUUUUGUCAGUUUUACUAGCAAAAGACCAUCUUCUUACAUCAUCCUUUUUUUUUUUUGGUGGUGUUUGAAUCAAAGAAUACUACCGUCUCUGAAAAUCUGAAAUUGCUAGUCAAUGAGAGGACGAUAGAAGGACAUAUUAUAGGUAUAAAUAAGCUGUACCAUGUUACCAGUGAGUACAAGAACAUCAUGAAAGAGGUUGAUGGGUCUUUUGGGACGGAUGAAGGUUAAAAUUAGAUGCAGAGCCCUUGGCUGUUCAUUUCCUUGUCUGAUGAGCCCCAGAGGAGAACUGAUGGUCCCAGGACUUACUGGCUGGAACCCCCUCUGAAGGAAUCGGUGUCAUUCAGGGAUGUUGCCAUACACUUCACCCAGGAGGAAUGGAGCCAUCUUCAUCCAGCUCAGAAGGACCUGUACCGGCGUGUGAUGCAGGAGAACUAUGAGAACCUCGUCUCACUGGGUAAGGGGGGCUCUGGCCUUGGACGCAGAACCUCUGGCCAAAAAGCUUAGCUGAGGUUGGGCUGCCUCGUCAGGGCUAUUCGAGAGCUCGGGGCAUGUGGAGAGAAUCCCAGAUCCC